Molecule: long non-coding RNA, 120 nt
Organism: Ipomoea nil (Japanese morning glory)
Lineage: Eukaryota; Viridiplantae; Streptophyta; Magnoliopsida; Solanales; Convolvulaceae
Exons: 3
Source: RefSeq, a predicted model, not a curated record
AUAAAAUAAAAGUGUAAUUUUUCACCGGACAAACUCAUGUUUUAUUGGUUGAUGUUGUCAUAAUGUCAUGUAAUGUUAAAUUUGUUUGAAAAAUUAGUAAAAAUUGACAUUUUAAGUGGA